UGCGUAGGUGGUUCGGUAUGUCGGAUGUGAAAGCCCACUGCUCAACGGUGGAAAUGCAUUCGAAACUGCCGGGCUAGAGUGCAGGAGAGGAGAGCGGAAUUCUUGGUGUAGCGGUGAAAUGCGUUGAUAUCAAGAAGAACACCGGUGGCGAAGGCGGCUCUCUGGAAUGCUACUGACACUGAGGCACGAAAGCUGGGGGAGCAAACAGGAUUAGAUACCCUGGUAGUCC
Molecule: ribosomal RNA, 229 nt
Filed under: uncultured bacterium
Lineage: Bacteria
Description: partial 16S ribosomal RNA
Rfam family: Bacterial small subunit ribosomal RNA
Source: RNAcentral